Non-coding RNA from Anas platyrhynchos (mallard), 487 nucleotides. Lineage: Eukaryota; Metazoa; Chordata; Aves; Anseriformes; Anatidae. The record is from RefSeq and is a predicted model, not a curated record.
ACAUAGAUGGCUGUGUUUUCACAGACCUUCCUUCCCUUGAUUAAUUUUUGGGAUAGACUCUUUCAGAGCAGGUUAUUUAAGGAUUUAGAGCUUGUUCCAAGGCCCAUUGAAGCCAAUGGAAAUCUCUCUAUUGUCACUGAUAGGCUCGGGACCAGGCCACUAGCCCUGAGUGCUUAGGAUAGAGACAUUUAAGGUGCAAGUGAUGAAAGACCUGAUGUUGAGCAGAAAUCCAUUAACACCUCCAAGAAACAAGGCCGAGGGCCUUUAAGUACCAAAUCAGGGACAGAUUUUGAAAGGCCACUAAACAUGAGGAUGAUAUCUGUGGGAGUUGGCAUGGAAGGGACAGUAAUAACUUUUGAAGAGCUACUUCCCCCACAGCAUCCUACCAGCCAGUCCCAGCCCAACCAGUGCCUGUGUCUGGGAGACAAUUUAGUUACUUCCACACUUUCCUGGAAAGAUUUUGCCUGGCACACUCCUGUCUCAGCAG